Molecule: ribosomal RNA, 796 nt
Filed under: Staphylococcus haemolyticus
Lineage: Bacteria; Bacillati; Bacillota; Bacilli; Caryophanales; Staphylococcaceae
Description: bacterial SSU rRNA
Rfam family: Bacterial small subunit ribosomal RNA
Source: RNAcentral
UGAGUAACACGUGGGUAACCUACCUAUAAGACUGGGAUAACUUCGGGAAACCGGAGCUAAUACCGGAUAAUAUUUCGAACCGCAGGUUCGAUAGUGAAAGAUGGUUUUGCUAUCACUUAUAGAUGGACCCGCGCCGUACUAGCUAGUUGGUAAGGUAACGGCUUACCAAGGCGACGAUACGUAGCCGACCUGAGAGGGUGAUCGGCCACACUGGAACUGAGACACGGUCCAGACUCCUACGGGAGGCAGCAGUAGGGAAUCUUCCGCAAUGGGCGAAAGCCUGACGGAGCAACGCCGCGUGAGUGAUGAAGGUCUUCGGAUCGUAAAACUCUGUUAUUAGGGAAGAACAUACGUGUAAGUAACUAUGCACGUCUUGACGGUACCUAAUCAGAAAGCCACGGCUAACUACGUGCCAGCAGCCGCGGUAAUACGUAGGUGGCAAGCGUUAUCCGGAAUUAUUGGGCGUAAAGCGCGCGUAGGCGGUUUUUUAAGUCUGAUGUGAAAGCCCACGGCUCAACCGUGGAGGGUCAUUGGAAACUGGAAAACUUGAGUGCAGAAGAGGAAAGUGGAAUUCCAUGUGUAGCGGGUGAAAUGCGCAGAGAUAUGGAGGAACACCAGUGGCGAAGGCGACUUUCUGGUCUGUAACUGACGCUGAUGUGCGAAAGCGUGGGGGAUCAAACAGGGAUUAGAUACCCUGGUAGUCCACGCCGUAAACGAUGAGUGCUAAGUGUUAGGGGGUUUCCGCCCCUUAGUGCUGCAGCUAACGCAUUAAGCACUCCGCCUGGGGAGUACGACC